AGUCGUCAGUACGUGUGGAGGUCUCUUGCAUUUUCCGCCUAAAUACUGUUGAUUUUCCCUAGUUUUUUGUGUGGAAAAUGAUUCUCAGAGUUUCAACAAAUAUCUCAGCGUCUAAAAAAACUGAAAUUCCAACUUUAUCUUUGGGAAUCACCGUGAUUUUCACAGUGGCGUCGCUUUGGCGUGAUUCCGGGACUUGAGGGCACUUGAAAUGAGUGGGAACUCCUUGGACAUGAAGCAUUGGCUGAUUUGAGAGCCGACAAGACCUUUCCGGACGGCGCCGUCUAAUGAUAUUCAGCAUGUUCCGGAACUUUUAAUGCACAGAUCAGAGAUCAAUAAAAUGGAUAUUUUUUUGUACGAAAGAUGAAAUCUUUAUUUCCGGGCG
Molecule: long non-coding RNA, 382 nt
Organism: Phlebotomus argentipes
Lineage: Eukaryota; Metazoa; Arthropoda; Insecta; Diptera; Psychodidae
Exons: 3
Source: RefSeq, a predicted model, not a curated record